CAAGCACCUGUCCUCCAGAGCUUCCAGUGGAUUCUUCAUCACGAGCAGCCUAGAAGCGAGAGUUUAGAGUCACAUUUUCUUUCCGUGCAGGAUGUGGUAAAAUUUGGAAAUUUUUAAAUGAAAAAAAAAAAGGUUUUCACAUCAUCGCUGUGGACCCCGUAAAUAAUAAUGGUGUCAGGUGUCAUUUAUUGAGCACCUAUUGUGUACCUGGUGUUCCACAAUGAACUGUCAACAAGCUACAACAUGCAGUGCCAGUUCAACAAGGACAUAUAAAACUACACCCAACCACAGGAAAUAUCACUCACCCUUAGAUGGACACUGCUAUAAGGACUCUGAGGCUUGAGACUAGCAAGAGGGGGAGGCCUAAUGCCCCUCAACACCCCAGCUCAGCAGGAAGUAGCCAGAGAGACCUCAACGACCCUACUCCCAAAGAACUGGGCCUCCCAUCUCUUAAGGGGGGAAUGUUAGGUAGUUAGAAUAGGAAAAAGGAGUCCAAAAUGGCGGUACCUAAAAGACAAAGAAAGGGAAAGCCCAGGAAAACAGAACAAAAGAAAACCCACAGACCAGAGUGAGAAUUUCGGGUGAAACAAACACACCCCCUUCUUGGCUAGCCCAAUUUGCAUAGGGCAGGCUCAGUAGGGAGGAGACAAAUGAACGAAAGAAGGAAGCCAAGAUGGAUUGAGGCCCCACCUUUGGGGUUGCCAGCCCUCACGCCUCGAGGGUGUACUAACCUUUGCUUGCCAAAUAAAACUCUGAGCUGUAACCAAACUGUAACACUGGUCCAUCAUUUCAAAUCUUUGCUGUGGCAAGACAGAACUGAGGAAAUUACACACUCCCCAAACAUCUCCAAUGACAAGUUGAUAUUGUGUGGACAGAAUAUCUACUGUAUUGGGGGAAGUUAUGGCUCUGUUUAUCCAAGAAAACACUUGGUCCUUUGAAGGCAUCAGAAUUUGUCUACUCAUGGCUGCAGUCACCAUCUGCAGUGAUUUUGGAUCCCCCAAAAAUAAAGUCUGACACUG
This is a long non-coding RNA of Bubalus bubalis (water buffalo), 1019 nucleotides long. RefSeq lists it as uncharacterized. The record is from RefSeq and is a predicted model, not a curated record. Lineage: Eukaryota; Metazoa; Chordata; Mammalia; Artiodactyla; Bovidae. The transcript has 3 exons.